Molecule: ribosomal RNA, 700 nt
Filed under: uncultured bacterium
Lineage: Bacteria
Description: bacterial SSU rRNA
Rfam family: Bacterial small subunit ribosomal RNA
Source: RNAcentral
AGUGGCGGACGGGUGAGUAACACGUAAGAAUUUGCCUUUAGGAGGGGGACAACAACUAGAAAUGGUUGCUAAUACCCCAUAUGCUUUCGAGUGAAAUGGAUUUUUCCGCCUAGAGAGAAGCUUGCGGCUGAUUAGCUUGUUGGUGAGGUAAUGGCUCACCAAGGCGACGAUCAGUAUCUGGUUUGAGAGGACGACCAGACACACUGGAACUGAGACACGGUCCAGACUCCUACGGGAGGCAGCAGUGGGGAAUUUUCCGCAAUGGGCGAAAGCCUGACGGAGCAAUACCGCGUGAGGGAUGACGGCCUAUGGGUUGUAAACCUCUUUUUUCAGGGAGGAAUCAAUGACGUGUACCUGAAGAAUAAGCAUCGGCUAACUCCGUGCCAGCAGCCGCGGUAAGACGGGGGAUGCAAGUGUUAUCCGGAAUCACUGGGCGUAAAGCGUCUGUAGGUGGUCCAAUAAGUCAACUGUUAAAUCUUGAGGCUCAACCUCAAAAUCGCAGUCGAAACUAUUAGACUAGAGUAUAGUAGGGGUAAAGGGAAUUUCCAGUGGAGCGGUGAAAUGCGUAGAGAUUGGAAAGAACACCGAUGGUGAAGGCACUUUACUGGGCUAUUACUAACACUCAGAGACGAAAGCUAGGGUAGCAAAUGGGAUUAGAUACCCCAGUAGUCCUAGCCGUAAACAAUGGAUACUAGAUGUU